Molecule: non-coding RNA, 67 nt
Organism: Merluccius polli (Benguela hake)
Lineage: Eukaryota; Metazoa; Chordata; Actinopteri; Gadiformes; Merlucciidae
Source: the annotation of a GenBank genome assembly
UAGCUCAACUGGUAGAGCUCGGCAUUGACACAGCCGGUGUUAGGGGUUCGAGUCCCACUAGGGGCCA